CCUCGGUGAGGCUGCACACCUGUUGUGCAUUGAGCAAUCAAUCUGCACAGGUUGGACCAGCCAUCUCCGAACAUACUCACAAAAUGGAUAAUAAUAAUUAUGCCACACAGAGGUUAUAAUUCAGUAUUUUAUUUGUUUUCAUGGCCGCAUUCUGGAAAGAUCUGUAAAUGUUGGAUAUUAGAUAAAUAGAGUGAAGUUCAGUCAACUGGAUGGUCGCCCUCUUAGGUCGAGAGUGAGUUCUUCACCUCAUCUCUAUAACCAACAUGUCCUCUGUGGAUGUAUGUCGAAUGACCUCCUGGUGUCACAUGACGUGUACAGCAAUGCCUUCUUGGAAAUAUUCUGGGGAACAUCUGGAACACCUGCACCUGCCCUGGACCAGGCAGCUGGGCACUACAUCAGACAACACCGCAGGGGCCUGUUCCACUUUGAAAGCAUGCGCCUGCAUCCAUGUCACGUGUUUCUGUCUGCAAAAACAACAAGGUGGCUGAAAUGUAUAUUUGUUUGCAUUGUUAAGACACAAAAUUUUCAUUGCCAUCUAUGACUGCUUUGCCUGCUACGUUGUGUAUUUGACAAAUAAAAUAACUUGAACUUGC
Long non-coding RNA from Gadus morhua (Atlantic cod), 593 nucleotides. RefSeq lists it as uncharacterized. NCBI's taxonomy places the organism in Eukaryota, Metazoa, Chordata, Actinopteri, Gadiformes, Gadidae. The transcript is spliced from 3 exons. The record is from RefSeq and is a predicted model, not a curated record.